Molecule: unclassified non-coding RNA, 488 nt
Filed under: Hevea brasiliensis (rubber tree)
Lineage: Eukaryota; Viridiplantae; Streptophyta; Magnoliopsida; Malpighiales; Euphorbiaceae
Source: RNAcentral
AAGUGAGAGAUUUGGAUGUUCUCAACAUCAAGCUUCUUAAAAUUACUACGCUUUCUUGUGACCAAAAAUUUCCCCAAAUUAUAAGGCCUAUAUUUAGCAGGGUUUUGCUCAUUUGCUAUUUCCUCCAAAGGCUUCACCCAGGUGUAGUGUGCUGGGUUCAAGAAGUAUGGAACAGAAAAUCUUUCCUUCUCAGGAUUCACCUUCACUCUAUGCUCUACACUCUCGUAUGCAUCAUUGCUCCAUACCUGAAUGAUGUCACCAACAUUAAUAAUGUAAGAAUUUGGGGUUGGGGUGACCCAAGUCCACUCUCCAUCAGAUUUGCUUUUCACUUCUAGUCCACCCACAUCAUCUUGGGCAAGUAUGGUCAAGGCAACAGCACGACCAACGCCAAGAGCUAGGUCAGGAACAGGGCAUGGUGGAUAGUGGUUGAGUCUAAUGAAGGUGGUUUGGUCUUCAAAGAAUCCAUGGAACCUAUCUGCCUUCAGGCC